UGGGGAAACGCAGGCUCCCCUUCAGACGGCCCGUCCCGUCCAAGCUCUGC
Molecule: non-coding RNA, 50 nt
Filed under: unclassified sequences
Description: chromate-resist RNA
Rfam family: chrB-b RNA
Source: RNAcentral